UAAACAGGAAUAUAAAAGUGUCCCACAUUUAUUUUGACGAAUUAUUAAAUAUACUCGGACUUCUAUUUUGAAAGGCGCUCUGUGACGCGCAUGCGCUGUCUCAAACGUCCACGUGAGAUUGUGAAGCGCAUUCCUCUCAAAUAUUCAUCUUCGCUAGUUCUGUGACAUAAUAAUUGUUAACAUUUAUUGUUCUUUGCGUUAAGUGGCCCAACAUUAAAUCUUUAAUAUUGUUUGUAAUAUUGUUUUUGGCAUGUUUGUCUGUUGUACCUGUUGUAAGCAGAGAUGUCUGGAUAAAAACACCACCACAGCAAAUAAAUAAAAAAGGACAAAAACCAAAACAUAAUGCCUAAAUCAGCAAAGAAACUGACUAAAAUGGAUCAUCAGAGUUCAGAUGAUGAAGAGGACGUUUAGAGAUGGAGAGAACUUUGCCUUUACUAAGUAAAAGGAGCACGAUAGAAACUUCAGCAGAGGAUGAAGAGGACUUGAGAGAUGAAGAUGCAUCUGCAGAGGAAGAUGAAGCACCUGAAGAGGAUGAAGACAAUGGCGUGGAUGAUGAAGAUGAGUCAGGGAGUGAUGAAGAUGAAGCAGAUAGUAACCAUGAAGAUGAAGGAGUCGGCAAUGUACAAUCACACACAGAAGGAAACCUUAAAAAAGCUGGAGAACUUCUUGAGUAAGAAGAGGAAACAUAAUGCCACCAAGGAUCGCAAAAAGUUGCAAAAUCAGCACAAAAAUCGCCAUAUAUGGACCAAUCUUGGCUCAUCUGUGGCACCUUGAGUUAAUUAUCUGUCUUAGUAUGACAUAAUGCAGAAGGACAUCUGCUGAAAAGUAAAUCCUGCUGGACUGUGAUGUUAAUAGAGGUCUUGGU
This is an RNA transcript of Cyprinus carpio (common carp), 865 nucleotides long. It is a transcript of the gene named glutamic acid-rich protein-like, with no coding region annotated. The transcript has 3 exons. The record is from RefSeq and is a predicted model, not a curated record. Lineage: Eukaryota; Metazoa; Chordata; Actinopteri; Cypriniformes; Cyprinidae.